This 253-nucleotide ribosomal RNA is filed under the name uncultured bacterium. Its description in RNAcentral is "partial 16S ribosomal RNA". It matches the Rfam family "Bacterial small subunit ribosomal RNA", at positions 524 to 776 of the family's 1533-position model. The record is from RNAcentral.
UACGAAGGGGGCUAGCGUUGUUCGGAAUUACUGGGCGUAAAGCGCGCGCAGGCGGUUCUCCAAGUCAGUGGUGAAAGCCCGAAGCUCAACUCCGGAACUGCCAUUGAAACUGUUGAACUUGAGGACGAGAGAGGUGAGUGGAAUUCCCAGUGUAGAGGUGAAAUUCGUAGAUAUUGGGAAGAACACCAGUGGCGAAGGCGGCUCACUGGCUCGUAUCUGACGCUCAGGCGCGAUAGCGUGGGGAUCAAACAGG